AAUUGACUAGGUAUCCCCCUUUCCCUUUUCACAGUAAGGGGACAAGAGUGUUUUAGCGACAACAGAGAACAAACAUGGGACAACUACUAACAACCCUGCAACUGAUUUAGAGCUGCCAAGGAAACAUUGUGCCUUUCAUUAAGGCCUGCUUCAUUAGACAGUGAAGGUCUCGCUCACCCAGGGUCCAGAGACCACACUGCCUGGUGCCUGCUACACUGCUGGAACCUCUGAAGCUGAGCCCACCUGUUACCGCUGCUACCAUGAGGACUCGAGCAGAUGCCCCCCGAGGAGGAAAUUACAUCACACGUUUGUUGUGUCCACCCUGGACAGGCAGCAGUGUUCAAGGGUUUAAAGUGAAGCAACCUGGUCCUCCUCGUUUCGAGCCUUGCCUGUCCUGGCUCCGAGCCCGUCUGCCUGACCACCAGUCUGCCUAUCCCCUUGUACUGUUUUGGACUUGGAUCUGGUUUCUGAUCCCUGCCUGGCAUGACCUCGAGACUGCCUAUCUUCUGGUACUGUUUGGACUCUGACCUGGUUUAUGAACUCUCGCCUGUCCCCGACCUGCCUUUGCCUACUCCCUUUGUUAUAAUAAAUAUCGGAGCUCUACCAUCUGCCUCCUGUGUCUGCAUUUGGGUCUCGCCUUGUGCCCUUAUAUUACUGUUCCUAGGCCUACUUUAACAUGUGCAGAACACACACACACAAACACACACUGACUGACUGACACACUGUAACAAUAUAACAAGAUUAGACAGAGAUCCAGAUGAGGAAUAAAGCAGCAGUGGAGACUCAUAAAAAGGAACAGCAGCUAAGAGAGCAGUGAGGCCUGUGCCCCACAGUAGCCAUACUACUGGU
Molecule: long non-coding RNA, 849 nt
Organism: Oncorhynchus kisutch (coho salmon)
Lineage: Eukaryota; Metazoa; Chordata; Actinopteri; Salmoniformes; Salmonidae
Exons: 3
Source: RefSeq, a predicted model, not a curated record